This 770-nucleotide ribosomal RNA is filed under the name Bacillus sp. DD1(2016). Its description in RNAcentral is "bacterial SSU rRNA". It matches the Rfam family "Bacterial small subunit ribosomal RNA", at positions 69 to 823 of the family's 1533-position model. The record is from RNAcentral. Lineage: Bacteria; Bacillati; Bacillota; Bacilli; Caryophanales; Bacillaceae.
AUGGAUUAAGAGCUUGCUCUUAUGAAGUUAGCGGCGGACGGGUGAGUAACACGUGGGUAACCUGCCCAUAAGACUGGGAUAACUCCGGGAAACCGGGGCUAAUACCGGAUAACAUUUUGAACCGCAUGGUUCGAAAUUGAAAGGCGGCUUCGGCUGUCACUUAUGGAUGGACCCGCGUCGCAUUAGCUAGUUGGUGAGGUAACGGCUCACCAAGGCAACGAUGCGUAGCCGACCUGAGAGGGUGAUCGGCCACACUGGGACUGAGACACGGCCCAGACUCCUACGGGAGGCAGCAGUAGGGAAUCUUCCGCAAUGGACGAAAGUCUGACGGAGCAACGCCGCGUGAGUGAUGAAGGCUUUCGGGUCGUAAAACUCUGUUGUUAGGGAAGAACAAGUGCUAGUUGAAUAAGCUGGCACCUUGACGGUACCUAACCAGAAAGCCACGGCUAACUACGUGCCAGCAGCCGCGGUAAUACGUAGGUGGCAAGCGUUAUCCGGAAUUAUUGGGCGUAAAGCGCGCGCAGGUGGUUUCUUAAGUCUGAUGUGAAAGCCCACGGCUCAACCGUGGAGGGUCAUUGGAAACUGGGAGACUUGAGUGCAGAAGAGGAAAGUGGAAAUUCCAUGUGUAGCGGUGAAAUGCGUAGAGAUAUGGAGGAACACCAGUGGCGAAGGCGACUUUCUGGUCUGUAACUGACACUGAGCGCGAAAGCGUGGGGAGCAACAGAUUAGAUACCAUGGUAGUCCACGCCGUAACGAUGAGUGCUAAGUGU